This is a long non-coding RNA of Gymnodraco acuticeps, 191 nucleotides long. RefSeq lists it as uncharacterized. The record is from RefSeq and is a predicted model, not a curated record. The transcript is spliced from 3 exons. NCBI's taxonomy places the organism in Eukaryota, Metazoa, Chordata, Actinopteri, Perciformes, Bathydraconidae.
GGCACAUUUCCCCUUGAAACCCUGCUUCAGAGCAACCUCAACGGUGGCAAGCCAAAGCGAGGUGAUGGGGAGCAGCUGGAAGCCCUGGACCCAGGAAAAAAGGCGGCCAUAAUCGAGGCAACAAUGAAGAAGUGGCCACACACAACGAAGGGCCAGCUGGGUACAGCCAUCAACAACAAGCUGACAGAGCU